This 440-nucleotide ribosomal RNA is filed under the name uncultured bacterium. RNAcentral's name for it is "partial 16S ribosomal RNA". It matches the Rfam family "Bacterial small subunit ribosomal RNA", at positions 338 to 795 of the family's 1533-position model. The record is from RNAcentral.
CCUACGGGAGGCUGCAGUGGGGAAUAUUGCACAAUGGGGGAAACCCUGAUGCAGCGACGCCGCGUGAGUGAAGAAGUAUUUCGGUAUGUAAAGCUCUAUCAGCAGGGAAGAAAAUGACGGUACCUGACUAAGAAGCCCCGGCUAACUACGUGCCAGCAGCCGCGGUACUACGUAGGGGGCAAGCGUUAUCCGGAUUUACUGGGUGUAAAGGGAGCGUAGACGGCCAGACAAGUCAGAAGUGAAAGCCCAGGGAUCAACCCUGGGACUGCUUUUGAAACUGCCGGGCUGGAGUGCAGAAGAGGUAAGCGGAAUUCCUAGUGUAGCGGUGAAAUGCGUAGAUAUUAGGAGGAACACCAGUGGCGAAGGCGGCUUACUGGACUGUAACUGACGUUGAGGCUCGAAAGCGUGGGGAGCAAACAGGAUUAGAUACCCGAGUAGUC